AAUCUUAUAGUUAAAUUAUAACAUUAAAUUGCAACUUUAAAAUUGAAUUAUAUCUAAGAUUU
This 62-nucleotide transfer RNA is filed under the name Spirobrachia sp. YL-2014. RNAcentral's name for it is "tRNA-Cys". Lineage: Eukaryota; Metazoa; Annelida; Polychaeta; Sabellida; Siboglinidae. The record is from RNAcentral.